GAUUGAAACGACUGCUAAGACUGGAUAGGAAACAAAAAGGCAUCUUUUUGUUUUUAAAAGACCUUCUUACGAAGGUAUGCUUAAAGAGGGGCUUGCGCCACAUUAGUUAGUUGGUAGGGUAAAAGCCUACCAAGACGAUGAUGUGUAGCUGGACUGAGAGGUUGAACAGCCACAUUGGGACUGAGACACGGCCCAAACUCCUACGGGAGGCAGCAGUGGGGAAUUUUCGGCAAUGAAGGAAACUCUGACCGAGCAACGCCGCGUGAACGAUGAAGUAUUUCGGUAUGUAAAGUUCUUUUAUUGAAGAAGAAAAAGUAGUGGAAAAACUAUAUUGACGUUAUUCAAUGAAUAAGCCCCGGCUAACUAUGUGCCAGCAGCCGCGGUAAGACAUAGGGGGCGAGCGUUAUCCGGAAUUAUUGGGCGUAAAGGGUGCGUAGGCUGUUAGAUAAGUCUAUAAUUUAAUUUCAGUGCUUAACGCUGUCUUGUUAUAGAAACUGUCUUAACUAGAGUGAGAUAGAGGCAAGCGGAAUUCCAUGUGUAGCGGUAAAAUGUGUAAAUAUAUGGAGGAACAUCAGAAGCGUAGGCGGCUUGCUGGGUCUUUACUGACGCUGAGGCACGAAAGCGUGGGUAGCAAACAGGAUUAGAUACCCUGGUAGUCCACGCCGUAAACGAUGAGUACUAAGUGUCGGGGUAAAACUCGGUACUGAAGUUAACACAUUAAGUACUCCGCCUGAGUAGUACGUACGCAAGUAUGAAACUUAAAGGAAUUGACGGGACUCCGCACAAGCGGUGGAUCAUGUUGUUUAAUUCGAAGAUAAACGAAAAAUCUUACCAGGUCUUGACAUACUCUGCAAAGCUAUAGAAAUAUAGUGGAGGUUAUCAGGGAUGCAGGUGGUGCAUGGUUGUCGUCAGUUCGUGUCGUGAGAUGUUAGGUUAAGUCCUAAAACGAGCGCAACCCUUGUCGUUAAUUGCCAGCACGUAAUGGUGGGGACUUUAGCGAGACUGCCAAUUAAACAUUGGAGGAAGGUGAGGAUUACGUCAAAUCAUCAUGCCCCUUAUGAUCUGGGCUACAAACGUGAUACAAUGGCUGUGACAAAGAGUAGCUGAAACGCGAGUUUUUAGCCAGUCUCAAAAAAGCAGUCUCAGUUCGGAUUGAAGUCUGUAACUCGACUUCAUGAAGUUGGAAUCGCUAGUAAUCGCGAAUCAGCAUGUCGCGGUGAAUACGUUCUCGGGGUUUGUACACACCGCCCGUCAAAUC
RNAcentral lists this ribosomal RNA (1258 nucleotides) under Candidatus Phytoplasma trifolii. RNAcentral's name for it is "bacterial SSU rRNA". It matches the Rfam family "Bacterial small subunit ribosomal RNA", at positions 149 to 1403 of the family's 1533-position model. The record is from RNAcentral. Lineage: Bacteria; Bacillati; Mycoplasmatota; Mollicutes; Acholeplasmatales; Acholeplasmataceae.